This 4294-nucleotide long non-coding RNA is filed under the name Ovis aries (sheep). Its description in RNAcentral is "lncRNA (ENSOARG00000026185.1)". Lineage: Eukaryota; Metazoa; Chordata; Mammalia; Artiodactyla; Bovidae. The record is from RNAcentral.
AGAUUACUCCAUGGAUCACAUGAAGAACAAUCCUUAAAUGAAAAAGGAGCAUAAAGCCCUUUUGUGUUCAAGACCAAUUACCUCAUGCCAAAAUAAAUGCUGGGAAGCUUCUAGAGCAGAUUUCCUGUGCUCUGAGAGGGUGAGUCACCACUCCCAGUGCUCCGGAUCACUGGUGGGAACCUUUGGGGACAUGCCUCCAUGUCAUUAUGCCCAACACCUUCAACUGCUGAAGGUACCGUCAUUCUGGAUGGGUCUCCCAGCAGAGUUCCAUGGAUUAUUAUGCAGGUGGUGGUUUGGCUACAACUACAAUAGCACCAGCAGCAUCUGGGGACCAGAGAGCCAACAGAUGUGGACAUGUGACCUUGACAGCUAGUGUACAGCUCUUCUCUCCUGUUUCCAGCUUACCAGCUAUCCACCAAUGGAGGUGAGACUAUCCUAAAGGAUAAAGUUACUGAUUUUUAUUGACAUUAAAAAGUCCAGAUAUGCAUGUUUUAGUCUUAAAGGUAACCAGGUAUCCUGGUAAAUGGAUAUCUGUAGUUCAGACCACAGUUAGAGAAUCUGCAUUCUUCUCAAACGCAUGUUAAUCAGUUGCCAGAACUGAUAACAUAUGAAGCCAUGAAGUUGCAGCAUAUUUCAGUAAAUCAAAUCUCAUUCCAACCACAUUAUUUCAACACAGUGUAAUUAAUUAAGUUUAGAGAUCACCCAGGCAAAGAGAACAAAAGAGCCCAUAUGUUUGGAAAUUUACAACUAAGUAUUUCAGUAACUGAUCAAAGAAGAAAUCAUACUGGGAAUUGCUUUUUUUUUUUGUGCUAGCUCCAGUUCUAUUUUAUUUUCUGUCACAUUUCCUCAAGUCUAAAGACUUGUUUUUAAGCUUGGGAGGGCAUCUCUAGCCUGGCCUCAGUGUGGCAAGCAGACCAUACGUUUAAGUAUCCCCAUGACGAUUUCUCCAUCUUUCUUCCUGUGCAGCUGCUUCAUCUCUGACAUACCCAGCUGCUUCCAGCCACCCAGACAGCCACUGUCCUCUCUUUCCACAGCUCAGGGUGAUAGCCCCCUCUACCUGGGCUUACAAUUGUCCUUGUGCUCUGCUGGAAAACACCUCCAGGCAGAGAGCUAUUGUUGGCUCAGCCAGUUUCUUUCUUUUCUUUCAGGAAACAUAGUCCUCUGUCACUUGUGGUAAAGUGUCUGAAAAUAGAUGGUUUAUAUAUUUGUAUUAUUAUGUUAUAUAUUUAUUUAUGCUUCCCUAGAGACUUAGCGGUAAAGGAUCCACCUGUCAAUACAGAUACCUGGGUCAGGAAGAUCCCCUGGAGAAGGAAAUGGCUAUCCAAUCCAGUAUUCUUGCCUGGAGAAUCCCACGGACAGAGGAGCCUGGUAGGCUACAGUUCACAGGGUUGCAAAGAGUUGGACACGACUUAGCAACUGGAUAACAGCAACAACAUUGAUUUCUAUGUAAAAUUUAUGUAUUUUAUUGUUUUCCAGUAGUUUGUGUAUCAAAUUGCAUCCCUGCCGAGGCCUGUCCACUGCUGGGCACAGCUCCCCAUCUAGGGCAUCUUCCCUUUUGCCUGGUCUUGUCCUCCUGUCUUCUUCUCUCCUCACAUCCUGGGCAGCUAACAGAGCCUGCUCUACAUGCUCAGUCCUUUACUAAAGGGAGAAAAAGCCCCAAAUUAUUUCAAACUGUUCCUGCCAUCUGUUCAAAAAAUUGCUGAGUAAAGGUUUUUCAAAGUCGCUUCUGUGUAUGUGUGUGUGUGUGUAUUGGCAGAAGACCAUAUAAAAGGAGAAAAAUCUAAAUUGAGAUUUUAAUAAAGUAUUCUGGCUAAAAACUCCGUAAUUACUGCAUUAGUUUAAUUUAAUCUCUCCCUUUCUCUCAGCAUGGACGUUGUUGAAUAUUAUGUGCCUGUGAUAAUUAAUUUUAUGUGUCAACUUGACUGGGCCAGAGGGUGCCCAGGUAUUUGUUUAACCAUUAUCCUAGCGGUGUCUGUGACGGAUGUUUCCGAAUGAGAUUAACAUUUGAAUCAGUAGAUUGAAUAGAGCAAAUUGCCCCUCAUUGUGGGGCACCACAAACAAUUCACUGAAGGGCUUAAAAGAACACAAAGGCUGAGUCAGGGAGAAUUUAUUCUCUCUGUGCUUGUGGCUGUCUUCAUUAGGCAUCUCCUGCCUUUGUACUUGGGACUUGGAACCACACCAUCAGCUCUCCUGGUCUCCAGUUUGUUAACUGUGGGUCUUGGGACCCUUAGCCUCCAUAAUCAAGAGAGCCAGUUCCUUAAACAUUCAAAAAACUAAGAUCAUGGCAUUUGGUCCCAUCACUUCAUGGCAAAUAGUUGGGGAAACAAUGGAAACAAUGACAGACUUUAUUUCCUUGGGCUCCAAAAUCACUGCAGAUGGUGAUUGCAGCCAUGAAAUUAAAAGAUGCUUGCUUCUUGAAAGAAAAGCUCUGAUAAACCUAGACAGCAUAUUAAAAAGCAGAGGCAUUACUUUGCCGACAAAGGUCCAUCUAGUCAAAGCUAUGGUUUUUCCAGUGGUCAUGUAUGGAUGUGAGAGUUGGACCAUAAAGAAAGCUGAAUGCCAAAGAACUGAUUCUUUUGAACCGUAGUGUUAGAGAAGACUCCUGAGAGUCCCUUGGACUGCAAGGAAAUCAAACCAGUCAAUCCUAAAGGAAAUUUCAAAUGAAUUCUUUUUAACGGCUGAGUAAUAUUCCAUUGUGUAUAUGUACCACAGCUUUCUUAUCCAUUCAUCUGCUGAUGGACAUCUAGGUUGUUUCCAUGUCCUGGCUAUUAUAAACAGUGCUGUGAUGAACAUUGGGGUACAUGUGUCUCUUUCAGUUCUGGUUUCCUCGGUGUGUAUGCCCAGCAGUGGGAUUGCUGGGUCAUAAGGUAGUUCUAUUUGCAAUUUUUUAAGGAAUCUCCACACUGUUCUCCAUAGUGGCUGUACUAGUUUGCAUUCCCACCAACAGUGUAGGAGGGUUCCCUUUUCUCCACACCCUCUCCAGCAUUUAUUGCUUGCAGAUUUUUGGAUCGCAGCCAUUCUGACUGGUGUGAAGUGGUACCUCAUUGUGGUUUUGAUUUGCAUUUCUCUAAUAAUGAGUGAUGUUGAGCAUCUUUUCAUGUGUUUGUUAGCCAUCCGUAUGUCUUCUUUGGAGAAAUGUCUAUUUAGUUCUUUGGCCCAUUUUUUGAUUGGGUAGUUUAUUUUUCUGGAAUUGAGCUACAUAAGUUUCUUGUAUAUUUUUGAGAUUAGUUGUUUGUCAGUUGCUUCAUUUGCUAUUAUUUUCUCCCAUUCUGAAGGCUGUCUUUUCACCUUGCUUAUAGUUUCUUUUGUUGUGCAGAAGCUUUUAAUUUUAAUUAGAUCCCAUUUGUUUAUUUUUGCUUUUAUUUCCAGUAUUCUGGGAGGUGGGUCAUAGAGGAUCCUGCUGUGAUUUAUGUCGGAGAGUGUUUUGCUUAUGUUCUCUUCUAGGAGUUUUAUAGUUUCUGGUCUUAUGUUUAGAUUUUUAAUCCAUUUUGAGUUCAUCUUUGUGUGUGGUGUUAGAAAGUGAUCCACCCAGCAAUCCCCCUGCUGGGCAUACACACUGAGGAAACUGGAAUAGAAAGAGACACAUGUACCCCAGUGUUCAUUACAGCACUGUUUAUAAUAGCCAGGACAUGGAUACAACCUAGAUGUCCAUCAGCAGAUGAAUGGAUAAGAAAGCUGUGGUACAUAUACACAAUGGAGUAUUACUCAGCCGUUAAAAAGAAUUCAUUUGAAUCAGUUCUGAUGAGAUGGAUGAAACUGGAGCCGAUUAUACAGAGUGAAGUAAGCCAGAAAGAAAAACACCAAUACAGUAUACUAACACAUAUAUAUGGAAUUUAGAAAGAUGGUAAUGAUGACCCUGUAUGCAAGACAGCAAAAGAGACACAGAUGUGUAGAGCGGACUUUUGGACUCUGAGGGAGAGGGAGAGGGUGGGAUGAUUUGGGAGAAUGGCAUUGAAACAUGUAUACUAUCAUGUAAGAAACAAAUCACCAGUCUAGGUUCGAUGCAGGAUGCAGGAUGCUUGGGGCUGGUGUGCAGGGAUGAUCUGGAGAGAUGAUGUGGGGUGGGAGGUGGGAGGGGGGUUCAUGUUUGGGAGCUCAUGUACACCCGUGGUGGAUUCAUGUCAAUGUAUGCCAAAACCAAUACAGUAUUGUAAAGCAAAAUAAAGUAAAAAUAAAAAUAAAAAUAAAAAACAAAUACAAAAAAAACAACUUUCAAUUUUUACUGAUUUUCUUUCUCUGGGGAAUUCAAACUAAUAGAGUGUCUUAUUAAAUGAUUUCAGUUCUGUGAAGUUUU